This 612-nucleotide long non-coding RNA is filed under the name Androctonus crassicauda. Lineage: Eukaryota; Metazoa; Arthropoda; Arachnida; Scorpiones; Buthidae. The record is from RNAcentral.
AUAGUUCUUGAUACAAUUUCCAAGUGCUGUGAUAAGGUUGGAUUAACUGUUAAUCCAGCAAAGACUAUAAUUAUACCUUUUACACAAAGAAGACAAUUGAUGAGACUUAUUGAACAACACUUUUUGGCAAAAGAUUAUAAUUUUCUACUAAAGUCAAAUAACUUAGUGUCAUGUUAGAGAAGGGAUUGAUUUGAAAACCAUAUUCAGACAUUAUUGUUGUGAAAGCCUGUAAAGCUCUAUGGGCUUGAGAGGCAUUUUGGAUAAGGUGUGGUACUUAAACCUGGGUUACUAUACUGGAUAUAUAUCAUGGUUGUGAGACUCAUUAUUACUUACACUGCCAUUAUUUGAUGGCAAAGAGUUUUGUUAAAAACUUGAAGAUUUGAACUCAAAAAGAAGGAUGGUCUGUCUGAGCAAAACAGGAGCUAUGAGUACUGCUCCUACUGCUGCUCUUGGAGUCUCUUGGACAUUUUUCCUUUGCAUUUGUGUGUUGAGGCUAGUGCCCAGGAAGAUUAUUAUAGGUUCCAUUGUCAUAGGAGAAGGAUUUCUUGAAUCCACAAAAUGGAGCAUUCAUUUUUUGAAUGGGACAAAUCACACAGUCACAUUCUUGAAAUA